This 253-nucleotide ribosomal RNA is filed under the name uncultured bacterium. Its description in RNAcentral is "partial 16S ribosomal RNA". It matches the Rfam family "Bacterial small subunit ribosomal RNA", at positions 524 to 776 of the family's 1533-position model. The record is from RNAcentral.
UACGUAGGGUGCGAGCGUUAAUCGGAAUUACUGGGCGUAAAGCGUGCGCAGGCGGCUUUGCAAGACAGAUGUGAAAUCCCCGGGCUCAACCUGGGAACUGCAUUUGUGACUGCAAGGCUAGAGUACGGCAGAGGGGGAUGGAAUUCCGCGUGUAGCAGUGAAAUGCGUAGAUAUGCGGAGGAACCCCAAUGGCGAAGGCAAUCCCCUGGGCCUGUACUGACGCUCAUGCACGAAAGCGUGGGGAGCAAACAGG